This 313-nucleotide unclassified non-coding RNA is filed under the name plant metagenome. RNAcentral describes it as "partial contains 5.8S ribosomal RNA, internal transcribed spacer 2, and large subunit ribosomal RNA". The stretch from base 1 to 105 matches the Rfam family "5.8S ribosomal RNA", at positions 50 to 154 of the family's 154-position model. The record is from RNAcentral.
GAAAUGUGAUACGUAGUGUGAAUUGCAGAAUUCAGUGAAUCAUCGAAUCUUUGAACGCACAUUGCGCCCUUUGGUAUUCCAAAGGGCAUGCCUGUUCGAGCGUCAUUUGUACCCUCAAGCUUUGCUUGGUGUUGGGCGUUUUUUGUCUUUGGCUCGCCCAAAGACUCGCCUUAAAACGAUUGGCAGCCGGCCUACUGGUUUCGCAGCGCAGCACAUUUUUGCGCUUGCAAUCAGCAAAAGAGGACGGCAAUCCAUCAAGACUCCUUCUCACGUUUGACCUCGGAUCAGGUAGGGAUACCCGCUGAACUUAAGC